CUUGGUCCCCUCUUUCAGACGAUCGUUACAGACCUACCCACCACAACUGGAUCAAGCAGCGUGCUCGGGAGAAGAUGGACACCUGGUCUCAUCAGGAGUGGAUUGGGAGGAGAGACUGGACUUGGGGCCAGGUGAUCGACAGAUAUCGGAGCCUACCCGGGAAGAACGAGAGGCAACCCCAAAAAUGUUUUGGGGGAGGGCACACGGGUAGUUUGGCUGGACCAGGGGUGAGGCCUGAGUCAACUACCCGUGCUUUUUGCGGUAAGCAGGUGCCUGCCUCUCGCACUCUCUCUCCAGUGCGCCUGCCCAGCCCAGUACGUCCUGUGCCUGCUCCCAGAGCCAGGCCUCCUGCAUGUCUCCCCAGUCUGGUGAGUCCUGUGCCUGCUCCCAGAGCCAGGCCUCCUGCAUGUCUCCCCAGUCUGGUUCUGUCUGAAGAACUGCCCACCCAAUGACCUGGAGUGUGCCAUGAGCCCUUGCGCGCUGGAGUACAAGCUGCUGUCCCUCCCCUUCGGCAUCACGGCAAAUCAGGACCUUUUCUGGCUGGUGGCGUACACGCACAACGGUGUGGUGCACCCGUGUACCUCUUUCCUGGUGGUGGAUGAGGAUGCGACAUUACACUUCGCCCUGUGAGACGAGAACUUGAAGAGGAUACUGUUCACGACCUGGGCCCUCAGAGAGCCCCACACCUACCGGAUGAAGGUCCGCUCCUUGUCUUAGAGGGCUGACGAAGGCAUCGAGUACCAGACCACCUUCAUCGUCUACAUCGCCAUCUCCGCCUACCCCUACUGAGAGCACUUUAAAACAACAACAUAAAGGGGCCCUGAAAGGUUGCGACCUCUGUAUGCAGCCCCACUGAGAACGACUGUAUGUGUGGAUGUAAAGGUAACUGCCAAAAUAAUGAAAACACUUGAGUAAAUGAGGGAUACACAGUAUAUUGAAAGCAGGUGUGGUUCCUGAGUUAAUUAAGAAAAUAACAUGUUUAGGGUCAUGUAUAAAAAUGCUGGGCAGGCCAUUAUUUUGGUUACCAUGGCUAUGACCCCAUAGGAUGACAAUGCCCCCAUCCGCAGGGCACAAGUGGUCACUGAAUGGUUUGAUGAGCAUGAAAACGAUGUAAACCAUAUAUCUUAGUCACCAGAUCUCAACCCAAUGUAACACCUAUGGGAGAUUCUGGAGUGGUCCCCGAGACAGCGUUUUCCACCACCAUCAACAAAAC
RNAcentral lists this long non-coding RNA (1213 nucleotides) under Salmo salar (Atlantic salmon). RNAcentral describes it as "lncRNA (ENSSSAG00000096155.1)". The record is from RNAcentral. Lineage: Eukaryota; Metazoa; Chordata; Actinopteri; Salmoniformes; Salmonidae.